This 91-nucleotide transfer RNA is filed under the name Chloroflexota bacterium. Its description in RNAcentral is "Chloroflexi bacterium (freshwater metagenome) tRNA-Leu". It matches the Rfam family "tRNA". From Rfam's summary of the family: Transfer RNA (tRNA) molecules are approximately 80 nucleotides in length. Lineage: Bacteria; Bacillati; Chloroflexota. The record is from RNAcentral.
GCGGGUGUGGCGGAAUAGGUAGACGCACCAGCUUGAGGGGCUGGCGGGGUAUCCACUCCUCGUGGAGGUUCGAGUCCUCUCGCCCGCACCA